GCCAGAGGGGGCAAGCGUUAUCCGGAAUUAUUGGGCGUAAAGCGUGCGCAGGUGGGUUGACAAGUCUGAGGUUAAAGCUCGGAGCGUAACCCCGGAAUUGCCUUUGAAACUGUGAGCCUUGAGUAAGGGAGGGGGUGAUGGAAUUCCAGGUGUAGCGGUGAAAUGCGUAGAUAUCGGGAAGAACACCGGCGGCGAAAGCGGGCAACUGGGCCAUUACUGACGCUCAGGCACGAAAGCGAGGGGAGAGAAUAGG
This 253-nucleotide ribosomal RNA is filed under the name uncultured bacterium. Its description in RNAcentral is "partial 16S ribosomal RNA". It matches the Rfam family "Bacterial small subunit ribosomal RNA", at positions 524 to 776 of the family's 1533-position model. The record is from RNAcentral.